GACAGAGGGGGCAAGCGUUGCUCGGAAUUACUGGGCGUAAAGGGCGCGUAGGCGGGAUGGCAAGUCGGUCGUGAAAUCCCUCGGCUCAACCGAGGAACGUCGAUCGAUACUGCUGUUCUUGAGGAUUGCAGAGGAGACUGGAAUUCCCGGUGUAGCGGUGAAAUGUGUAGAGAUCGGGAGGAACACCGGUGGCGAAGGCGGCAUCCUGGACCAAUUCUGACGCUGAGGAGCGAAAGCGUGGGGAGCGAACAGG
This 253-nucleotide ribosomal RNA is filed under the name uncultured bacterium. RNAcentral describes it as "partial 16S ribosomal RNA". It matches the Rfam family "Bacterial small subunit ribosomal RNA", at positions 524 to 776 of the family's 1533-position model. The record is from RNAcentral.